This 360-nucleotide long non-coding RNA is filed under the name Gossypium barbadense (sea-island cotton). RNAcentral describes it as "long non-coding RNA (GBAR_LNC020038)". Lineage: Eukaryota; Viridiplantae; Streptophyta; Magnoliopsida; Malvales; Malvaceae. The record is from RNAcentral.
GACUUAAAUGGCAACUAAACCAUUAUGAGAAUUGGUGGGUGUUAGUGGGCUUAUAAAUUGUUAAUGUUUGAUUAUAAUUAUAAGGGUAAAAGAGUAAAUUAUUAAAUAUGCAUAUUAUAAUAAAAACAUGAUAAAAUUCAUUAUCAUCUUCUUCAUUUGGAAGCCACCAUCGAAACCCUAAAGGAGAAGAAAACAUAUUUGGCCAACUUUGGUUUGGUGAUUUGGUAAGCAAAGUUUGCCCAUUUUUAAUAAUUUUUAUGUUUUUGAGAUCGUUGCAACUAGGUCCAGCUAACCCGUACCUUUGAUUUUGAAACUGUUAAAGAUUUUGAAUGUUUCCAUUGAUGAACCUUUUGAUGUUAG